UGAAAAGCCCUCAGUUUCUAAGACUUUUAUUUUCAAGAAGUCUUACCUUUUUGUAACAAAGUAUAAAUUUCUAUCUUGAUUUAUCGAGGGGACAUCGGAACGCGAAAGGAUUUAGUAUAUCGGUUUUAUGUUUUGCUUUUGAAUCCGCGAACUCUCAUUGCACCAACAGUACUUUGGACAAUUUAAAAGCUCCUUUUUGAAGCCGAAGCAUAUAAUUAGAGUGGAAAAGAAGAAGGUUCAUGUCGCCAAGAUCAGACAUGGGAAAGGGAAACAAAGCUAAACAAACAAGAAGAAUAAAGAAGUAAAAGGUUCAAGACAACUUUCAGAUUUAUCUGUUAAACUUUAGGUAUCAUGAGGAGGUAAAGUGAUGCAAAAAUUCCAGGAACCUCUGCUGCAUAUAUAUUCAGUAUGUGAUAUCAAUGUUCAUCAUUUUCAACGUGAAACUUUUAUUUUUAA
Non-coding RNA from Nicotiana tabacum (common tobacco), 456 nucleotides. NCBI's taxonomy places the organism in Eukaryota, Viridiplantae, Streptophyta, Magnoliopsida, Solanales, Solanaceae. The record is from RefSeq and is a predicted model, not a curated record.